CUUGCGUCACAUUAGUUAGUUGGUGGGGUAAAGGCCUACCAAGACUAUGAUGUGUAGCCGGGCUGAGAGGUUGAACGGCCACAUUGGGACUGAGACACGGCCCAAACUCCUACGGGAGGCAGCAGUAGGGAAUUUUCGGCAAUGGAGGAAACUCUGACCGAGCAACGCCGCGUGAACGAUGAAGUAUUUCGGUACGUAAAGUUCUUUUAUUAGGGAAGAAUAAAUGAUGGAAAAAUCAUUCUGACGGUACCUAAUGAAUAAGCCCCGGCUAACUAUGUGCCAGCAGCCGCGGUAAUACAUAGGGGGCAAGCGUUAUCCGGAAUUAUUGGGCGUAAAGGGUGCGUAGGCGGUUAAAUAAGUUUAUGGUCUAAGUGCAAUGCUCAACAUUGUGAUGCUAUAAAAACUGUUUAGCUAGAGUAAGAUAGAGGCAAGUGGAAUUCCAUGUGUAGUGGUAAAAUGCGUAAAUAUAUGGAGGAACACCAGUAGCGAAGGCGGCUUGCUGGGUCUUUACUGACGCUGAGGCACGAAAGCGUGGGGAGCAAACAGGAUUAGAUACCCUGGUAGUCCACGCCGUAAACGAUGAGUACUAAACGUUGGGUAAAACCAGUGUUGAAGUUAACACAUUAAGUACUCCGCCUGAGUAGUACGUACGCAAGUAUGAAACUUAAAGGAAUUGACGGGACUCCGCACAAGCGGUGGAUCAUGUUGUUUAAUUCGAAGGUACCCGAAAAACCUCACCAGGUCUUGACAUGCUUCUGCAAAGCUGUAGAAACACAGUGGAGGUUAUCAGUUGCACAGGUGGUGCAUGGUUGUCGUCAGCUCGUGUCGUGAGAUGUUGGGUUAAGUCCCGCAACGAGCGCAACCCUUAUUGUUAGUUACCAGCACGUAAUGGUGGGGACUUUAGCAAGACUGCCAGUGAUGAAUUGGAGGAAGGUGGGGACGACGUCAAAUCAUCAUGCCCCUUAUGACCUGGGCUACAAACGUGAUACAAUGGCUGUUACAAAGGGUAGCUGAAGCGCAAGUUUUUGGCGAAUCUCAAAAAAACAGUCUCAGUUCGGAUUGAAGUCUGCAACUCGACUUCAUGAAG
RNAcentral lists this ribosomal RNA (1087 nucleotides) under 'Quercus humboldtii' aster yellows phytoplasma. Its description in RNAcentral is "bacterial SSU rRNA". It matches the Rfam family "Bacterial small subunit ribosomal RNA", at positions 230 to 1325 of the family's 1533-position model. The record is from RNAcentral. Lineage: Bacteria; Bacillati; Mycoplasmatota; Mollicutes; Acholeplasmatales; Acholeplasmataceae.